UUCUUUCCGGAGGCCAUUGAGUUCAUUGUGAGGCCUUGUCCCAGAACUGCGGGGUGCUCGUCCACUGCUUGGCGGGGGUCAGCCGUUCUGUCACCGUCACUGUGGCCUACCUCAUGCAGAAGCUCCACCUCUCUCUCAACGAUGCCUAUGACCUGGUCAAGAGGAAGAAGUCUAACAUCUCCCCCAACUUCAACUUCAUGGGG
Molecule: long non-coding RNA, 203 nt
Filed under: Homo sapiens (human)
Lineage: Eukaryota; Metazoa; Chordata; Mammalia; Primates; Hominidae
Description: long non-coding RNA NONHSAT139084.2
Source: RNAcentral